GCUACGGGUGGCUGCAGUGGGGAAUAUUGCACAAUGGGGGAAACCCUGAUGCAGCAACGCCGCGUGAGUGAUGACGGCCUUCGGGUUGGAAAGCUCUGUCUUCAGGGACGAGAAGGACGGUACCAGAGGAGGAAGCCACGGCUAACUACGUGCCAGCAGCCGCGGGAAUACGUAGGGGGCGAGCUUUGUCCGGAUUUACUGGGCGUAAAGGGAGCGUAGGCGGUCUUGUAAGGGAGAUGUGAAAUACUCGGGCUCCACUUGAGGGCUGCAUUUCAAACUGGCAGUCUAGAGUGCAGGAGGGGCGAUUGGCCUUCCUCGUGUAGCGGUGACAUGCGUAGAGAUUAGGAAGAACACCAGUGGCGAAGGCGAUUCUCUGGACUGUACCUGCCGCUGAGGCUC
This 399-nucleotide ribosomal RNA is filed under the name uncultured bacterium. Its description in RNAcentral is "partial 16S ribosomal RNA". It matches the Rfam family "Bacterial small subunit ribosomal RNA", at positions 338 to 754 of the family's 1533-position model. The record is from RNAcentral.